This 1159-nucleotide long non-coding RNA is filed under the name Sphaeramia orbicularis (orbiculate cardinalfish). Its description in RNAcentral is "lncRNA (ENSSORG00005018308.1)". The record is from RNAcentral. Lineage: Eukaryota; Metazoa; Chordata; Actinopteri; Kurtiformes; Apogonidae.
GUGCGCCUCCCGGCCACCUGGUGUAAAGCAUAAACAACCGCAUUCUCUGCCUUUUUUUUCUUCUUCUUCUUCUUCUUCUUACAUGCUGCAAGAUAAAUGAAAGGACCACGAGGAAACCUGAAAAACCGGGCGGGCAUCCGUGCAUCUCCAUGACCACGGUGUGAACUUUCCCUUGCAGCUCUUCCUUGCAGGCCCAUAAUAAUGGCUGCUGUCGGUGCUGUCUGCGCGGCGGCCCGUCGCGGUGAUAUAUGGGGGUCAGUGGGCCGGGACGGCCUGCUCGGAAUGAGCGGCCCGGUGAGCAGCCAAGACGGGUAGUCAGGCGGACAGAAACCCGGGAUGCGCAGCUAGAACCUGCUGCUACACCAUCAUAAUUUACCCAGAUGCAAAACAGGAUAUUUUGGCUGGACUCGCAUCAACCUGGAGGCUAACGUUGCCUUUCGCCCCCGCACCUGAACUUUUCGGUGACCCAACCCGGAUCACAGACAGUCCUCUUACUUUGUUUCCAAAAACAAAGGGAAGAUGGGAUCUAAAAAUCCCCAGUUUACUUUUUAAAAUUUAUUGCUGCACUUUUUACUUGAUCUUUGCGUAAUAGUAGUUGACUGGUUGUUUAAAUCUUGACAGAUUUGAUAAAAAAAAAAAAAAAAAAAUGUUUCUGAGUUAUUUACACAAAUCCAGGCUUCUUUAUCGCUGUCAGCGAAGAGGAGUUAGAGACGCAGACCUCUGGAUGUUGGCCAGACGACCGUCCAUAUCUUCCCACAAUGUUGACACUCGGAGCUCUUAACAGCCAGGCUUGGGUUACCGAGACACUGAGCCGAAGAUAACUCUUUCUGCGAGGUUUACACCGGCCAACAUCAAGGCUAAUGCGAAAUUCAACGCCUUAAGCUGAGUUGGAGCCAUUUCUCAUGGACAGAGACCAGACGGAAUUGAACGGUGGAACUGUUUAUAUAUGAGGGGCUGUAAUAAAGCUAUUAAAAAUAUCUGACUUAUUUUUAUGUCUAAAACUGUUUUCAGGUCACAUACAGUAAGCUUUUAUGUUGAAUUUUGGAGGUAAGUGCAAAUAAUACUACUACUACUACUACUACUAAUAAUAAUAAUAAUAAUAAUAAUAAUAAUAAUAAUAGAAUUUUACUGUACAAAAUUACUAUUUUUAAAUAAACCA